AUGUUUACCUACUGGAGAAAACGUCUAGUGCUUCUUCUAUUCAGGUACGACUUUGUUCUUGAUUUCUUCUUGAUUCACACUUCUUCUACGUUCCUCUUUGUGAUGCGUUCUGUGAGGAUAUUUUUCUUCCUUCUUCUGACUUUCUACGCGUAUGAUCUUCUUGAUUCUGUGUAUUUGUUGCGUUGGAGAUGA
Molecule: non-coding RNA, 192 nt
Organism: Vicia faba (fava bean)
Lineage: Eukaryota; Viridiplantae; Streptophyta; Magnoliopsida; Fabales; Fabaceae
Source: the annotation of a GenBank genome assembly